UCGUUUAGGUGUUAUACAUAUAAGUUUUUCGUACUUGGGUAAAUCCUUUUGGGUUAAGCGAUG
RNAcentral lists this transfer RNA (63 nucleotides) under Echinostoma paraensei. Its description in RNAcentral is "tRNA-Glu". The record is from RNAcentral. Lineage: Eukaryota; Metazoa; Platyhelminthes; Trematoda; Plagiorchiida; Echinostomatidae.